AUCGAUGAAGAACGCAGCGAAACGCGAUAGGUAAUGUGAAUUGCAGAAUUCAGUGAAUCAUCGAAUCUUUGAACGCAUCUUGCGCUCGUUGGUAUUCCGACGAGCAUGCCUGUUUGAGUGUCAUGAAAUAUAUCAACCAUGACUUGGGUUUAGGCCCUCGUCUUGGCUUGGAUUUGGGUGCUUGCGGUCUUGUGCUGCUCACCUUAAAAGAAUUAGCUGGACAUGUCUAUUGACUUGGUUCUACUUGGCGUAAUAAGUAUUUCGCUGAGGACAUCCCUUUAUUGGGUUGGCCAAGACUCUAGACGAACGUCUGCUUUCUAACCUCAUAGUUCCCUCGGGGACAUGACUUUUAUGAUCUGGCCUCAAAUCAGGUAGGACUACCCGCUGAACUUAAGCAUAUCAAUAAGCGGAGGAAAAGAAACUAACAAGGAUUCCCCUAGUAACGGCGAGUGAAGCGGGAAGAGCUCAAAUUUGAAAUCUAAUGUCCUCAGGGCAUUCGAGUUGUAAUCUAUAGGAACGUUUUCCGUGUCGGCUCAUGUACAAGUCCCUUGGAACAGGGCGUCAUAGAGGGUGAGAAUCCCGUACUUGACAUGAAUUACCGGUGCUCUGUGAUACGUCUCCAACGAGUCGAGUUGUUUGGGAAUGCAGCUCAAAAUGGGUGGUAAAUUCCAUCUAAAGCUAAAUAUUGGCUCGAGACCGAUAGCGAACAAGUACCGUGAGGGAAAGAUGAAAAGCACUUUGGAAAGAGAGUUAAAAAGUAUGUGAAAUUGUUGAAAGGGAAACGAUUGAAGUCAGUCAUGUCCUUCAGAUUCAGCCGGUUCUGCCGGUGUACUUCUGUUGGAUGGGGUCAACAUCAGUUUUGGAUGCCGGAUAAGGGCAGGAGGAAGGUAGUACCCUCGGGUAAACUUAUAGCCUUCUGUCGCAUACGGUGACUGGGACUGAGGAACGCAGCUUGCCUUUAUGGCCGGGGUUUACCCACGUACAAGCUUAGGAUGUUGACAUAAUGGCUUUAAACGACCCGUCUUGAAACACGG
Molecule: ribosomal RNA, 1034 nt
Filed under: uncultured fungus
Lineage: Eukaryota; Fungi
Description: eukaryotic LSU rRNA
Rfam family: Eukaryotic large subunit ribosomal RNA (bases 358-1034)
Source: RNAcentral